This 2175-nucleotide ribosomal RNA is filed under the name Escherichia coli. RNAcentral's name for it is "bacterial LSU rRNA". It matches the Rfam family "Bacterial large subunit ribosomal RNA", at positions 1 to 2190 of the family's 2925-position model. The record is from RNAcentral. Lineage: Bacteria; Pseudomonadati; Pseudomonadota; Gammaproteobacteria; Enterobacterales; Enterobacteriaceae.
GGGUUGUGAGGUUAAGCGACUAAGCGUACACGGUGGAUGCCCUGGCAGUCAGAGGCGAUGAAGGACGUGCUAAUCUGCGAUAAGCGUCGGUAAGGUGAUAUGAACCGUUAUAACCGGCGAUUUCCGAAUGGGGAAACCCAGUGUGUUUCGACACACUAUCAUUAACUGAAUCCAUAGGUUAAUGAGGCGAACCGGGGGAACUGAAACAUCUAAGUACCCCGAGGAAAAGAAAUCAACCGAGAUUCCCCCAGUAGCGGCGAGCGAACGGGGAGCAGCCCAGAGCCUGAAUCAGUGUGUGUGUUAGUGGAAGCGUCUGGAAAGGCGCGCGAUACAGGGUGACAGCCCCGUACACAAAAAUGCACAUGCUGUGAGCUCGAUGAGUAGGGCGGGACACGUGGUAUCCUGUCUGAAUAUGGGGGGACCAUCCUCCAAGGCUAAAUACUCCUGACUGACCGAUAGUGAACCAGUACCGUGAGGGAAAGGCGAAAAGAACCCCGGCGAGGGGAGUGAAAAAGAACCUGAAACCGUGUACGUACAAGCAGUGGGAGCACGCUUAGGCGUGUGACUGCGUACCUUUUGUAUAAUGGGUCAGCGACUUAUAUUCUGUAGCAAGGUUAACCGAAUAGGGGAGCCGAAGGGAAACCGAGUCUUAACUGGGCGUUAAGUUGCAGGGUAUAGACCCGAAACCCGGUGAUCUAGCCAUGGGCAGGUUGAAGGUUGGGUAACACUAACUGGAGGACCGAACCGACUAAUGUUGAAAAAUUAGCGGAUGACUUGUGGCUGGGGGUGAAAGGCCAAUCAAACCGGGAGAUAGCUGGUUCUCCCCGAAAGCUAUUUAGGUAGCGCCUCGUGAAUUCAUCUCCGGGGGUAGAGCACUGUUUCGGCAAGGGGGUCAUCCCGACUUACCAACCCGAUGCAAACUGCGAAUACCGGAGAAUGUUAUCACGGGAGACACACGGCGGGUGCUAACGUCCGUCGUGAAGAGGGAAACAACCCAGACCGCCAGCUAAGGUCCCAAAGUCAUGGUUAAGUGGGAAACGAUGUGGGAAGGCCCAGACAGCCAGGAUGUUGGCUUAGAAGCAGCCAUCAUUUAAAGAAAGCGUAAUAGCUCACUGGUCGAGUCGGCCUGCGCGGAAGAUGUAACGGGGCUAAACCAUGCACCGAAGCUGCGGCAGCGACGCUUAUGCGUUGUUGGGUAGGGGAGCGUUCUGUAAGCCUGUGAAGGUGUGCUGUGAGGCAUGCUGGAGGUAUCAGAAGUGCGAAUGCUGACAUAAGUAACGAUAAAGCGGGUGAAAAGCCCGCUCGCCGGAAGACCAAGGGUUCCUGUCCAACGUUAAUCGGGGCAGGGUGAGUCGACCCCUAAGGCGAGGCCGAAAGGCGUAGUCGAUGGGAAACAGGUUAAUAUUCCUGUACUUGGUGUUACUGCGAAGGGGGGACGGAGAAGGCUAUGUUGGCCGGGCGACGGUUGUCCCGGUUUAAGCGUGUAGGCUGGUUUUCCAGGCAAAUCCGGAAAAUCAAGGCUGAGGCGUGAUGACGAGGCACUACGGUGCUGAAGCAACAAAUGCCCUGCUUCCAGGAAAAGCCUCUAAGCAUCAGGUAACAUCAAAUCGUACCCCAAACCGACACAGGUGGUCAGGUAGAGAAUACCAAGGCGCUUGAGAGAACUCGGGUGAAGGAACUAGGCAAAAUGGUGCCGUAACUUCGGGAGAAGGCACGCUGAUAUGUAGGUGAAGUCCCUCGCGGAUGGAGCUGAAAUCAGUCGAAGAUACCAGCUGGCUGCAACUGUUUAUUAAAAACACAGCACUGUGCAAACACGAAAGUGGACGUAUACGGUGUGACGCCUGCCCGGUGCCGGAAGGUUAAUUGAUGGGGUUAGCCGCAAGGCGAAGCUCUUGAUCGAAGCCCCGGUAAACGGCGGCCGUAACUAUAACGGUCCUAAGGUAGCGAAAUUCCUUGUCGGGUAAGUUCCGACCUGCACGAAUGGCGUAAUGAUGGCCAGGCUGUCUCCACCCGAGACUCAGUGAAAUUGAACUCGCUGUGAAGAUGCAGUGUACCCGCGGCAAGACGGAAAGACCCCGUGAACCUUUACUAUAGCUUGACACUGAACAUUGAGCCUUGAUGUGUAGGAUAGGUGGGAGGCUUAGAAGUGUGGACGCCAGUCUGCAUGGAGCCGAC